This 301-nucleotide ribosomal RNA is filed under the name uncultured bacterium. Its description in RNAcentral is "partial 16S ribosomal RNA". It matches the Rfam family "Bacterial small subunit ribosomal RNA", at positions 509 to 807 of the family's 1533-position model. The record is from RNAcentral.
CAGUCGCCGCGGUAAUACGUAGGGUGCAAGCGUUAAUCGGAAUUACUGGGCGUAAAGCGUGCGCAGGCGGUUAUAUAAGACAGAUGUGAAAUCCCCGGGCUCAACCUGGGAACUGCAUUUGUGACUGUAUAGCUAGAGUACGGCAGAGGGGGAUGGAAUUCCGCGUGUAGCAGUGAAAUGCGUAGAUAUGCGGAGGAACACCGAUGGCGAAGGCAAUCCCCUGGGCCUGUACUGACGCUCAUGCACGAAAGCGUGGGGAGCAAACAGGAUUAGAUACCCCCGUAGUCUCUGUCUCUUAUAC